GAUUAAUACCCCAUGGCACUAUAGAUUGGCAUCAUGAAAUAGUUAAAGAUUUAUUGGUAAAGGAUGGGCAUGCGUAUCAUUAGUUAGUUGGUAAGGUAACGGCUUACCAAGGCAUCGAUAGGUAGGGGGCCUGAGAGGGUGGCCCCCCACACUGGUACUGAGACACGGACCAGACUCCUACGGGAGGCAGCAGUGAGGAAUAUUGGUCAAUGGAGGCAACUCUGAACCAGCCAUGCCGCGUGCAGGAAGAAUGCCCUAUGGGUUGUAAACUGCUUUUAUAUAGGAAGAAACCUUUCCACGUGUGGAAAGCUGACGGUACUAUAAGAAUAAGGAUCGGCUAACUCCGUGCCAGCAGCCGCGGUAAUACGGAG
RNAcentral lists this ribosomal RNA (371 nucleotides) under Fragilariopsis kerguelensis. Its description in RNAcentral is "partial Bacterial small subunit ribosomal RNA". It matches the Rfam family "Bacterial small subunit ribosomal RNA", at positions 161 to 530 of the family's 1533-position model. The record is from RNAcentral. Lineage: Eukaryota; Bacillariophyta; Bacillariophyceae; Bacillariales; Bacillariaceae.